RNAcentral lists this ribosomal RNA (503 nucleotides) under uncultured bacterium. Its description in RNAcentral is "partial 16S ribosomal RNA". It matches the Rfam family "Bacterial small subunit ribosomal RNA", at positions 30 to 523 of the family's 1533-position model. The record is from RNAcentral.
ACUGAACGCUGGCGGCAGGCUUAACACAUGCAAGUCGAGCGGGGUGAUGGUGCUUGCACUAUCACUUAGCGGCGGACGGGUGAGUAAUGCUUAGGAAUCUGCCUAUUAGUGGGGGACAACAUCUCGAAAGGGAUGCUAAUACCGCAUACGUCCUACGGGAGAGAGCAGGGGAUCACUUGUGACCUUGCGCUAAUAGAUGAGCCUAAGUCGGAUUAGCUAGUCGGUGGGGUAAAGGCCUACCAAGGCGACGAUCUGUAGCGGGUCUGAGAGGAUGAUCCGCCACACUGGGACUGAGACACGGCCCAGACUCCUACGGGAGGCAGCAGUGGGGAAUAUUGGACAAUGGGGGGAACCCUGAUCCAGCCAUGCCGCGUGUGUGAAGAAGGCCUUAUGGUUGUAAAGCACUUUAAGCGAGGAGGAGGCUCUUUUGGUUAAUACCCAAGAUGAGUGGACGUUACUCGCAGAAUAAGCACCGGCUAACUCUGUGCCAGCCGCCGCGGUAA